Daphnia pulicaria is the source of this 1414-nucleotide long non-coding RNA. RefSeq lists it as uncharacterized. Lineage: Eukaryota; Metazoa; Arthropoda; Branchiopoda; Diplostraca; Daphniidae. The record is from RefSeq and is a predicted model, not a curated record. The transcript is spliced from 4 exons.
AUUCGAUGUAGAAUGACUUUUUACAUAGGUAAUGACUAAAUUUUUUAACUAUUAACGAAAAUAACGAGAGAUUGGGAGCAAAAAGGGGAAAAAAAGGGGAAACUUCUAAAAUAGAUUGCACAUAUCAUUCCACACAAUUUAAGGGUCCAGUCAGUUCUAAUGGGAAGAACAACUUUCCAUUUUACCGAAAAGACUAAAUUUGUGAUGCGUUUUUUGUGGUUCGCGAGAUAUUUGCGAAAGAAAAACACACCCAGAUUGACUUUUAGCUUGAUUGUUGACUAGCAGACGACGGUAAGUAUUAACAGGCUUACAGUCAAUCUGCUUGUGGCAUGGCGAAUUGAUGGAUUGAAUGUUUGUGAUAGAUUUCAUCUCGUGAAACACUGUGUUUUUAUUUCAUAUGUUAACUAUUGCUGAAUUCUAAUAAGAAAAAAAACCAUGCAUCCAGUAUCACAACUGAUGGUUCAUUUACCCAUAAAAUGCCAGAUUGGCAGAUAGUUCAAAUGUGGGUGCUGAAUGAAUUGGUAAAUGUAAAAAAUGGAAUUGACAAUUAUUUUUAUCAUCAGACAUUGCUACCUUUCAGAAAAUAUGUCUUGAAGAUGACGACAAGUUGCCAGUUGAUUCAUAUGUCACACUUAUUGAUAUCCUAGCACACUAUACUUUAUUCGGCAUCCUAAAAAUGUUUCCCUUCUGACUUUCCCUCAUUUAAAAGGCAUUGAUGAUGUAAUGGUGCUAGGCGAACAUUUUACCAACAGAGAGAAAUUAAAGCUGCAACCGUAGAAAAUGGAAUUGACAAUUACAUUCAUCAUCAAACAAAUUUCAGUUUCAGAAAGUGGAGUUUUGUCUUGAAGAUGACAACAGUUGCCAGUCGAUUGACAUAACACCCUAAGUGAUAUCAUAGCAGGAGCUUGUGAUUUAUAGUUUGCUACCAUACUUUAUUCGUGAUGCCCUUUAUUUGACAUGCAAACAAAAAUUUCCCUUAUUAGAAUGCCUUGAUUUGAAAAAAAGGCACUGAUCUUAGACUUCCUGCAAAUUGGUACCCUGAAGCAACAACCUUGACAUGCAAAAUUGUAUUUCAUUCUGGCACAACAAAUAGCAGGAAAACAUAUCAUUUUCUUGAAAGGUUUUGUAAUUGAAAUCAGGAUUUUAUUAUGAUCCCUUAAUCUUCAAUUCCAAAUCAGGAGUUUAUUGUGGUCCCUUAAAACUUUUGGCAUCUAAAGUGUAUUGCAAAAGUAAUGAGCGUGGUGUCAAAUGUAAUUUAUUAACUGGAGAAAAAGACAUUUUGCUAAAGCUACUGGUAAAUCCCCUUUUUCCCAUGUAUCGUGCACUGUUGAAAUGAUCCAAUAGUGAAAAUCUUAUCAACUCUUCUCCUGUUAAGUGCGAUCAAACAUAAAUAAUAAAAACGACUAUUGUGUUA